GCCUUAAUGCGGCUUCCGGUAACGGAAACGGUUGCAAGCCCGUGCGAACGCAGAGCAGGGA
Molecule: non-coding RNA, 61 nt
Submitted as: unclassified sequences
Source: Rfam